This 482-nucleotide ribosomal RNA is filed under the name uncultured bacterium. RNAcentral describes it as "partial 16S ribosomal RNA". It matches the Rfam family "Bacterial small subunit ribosomal RNA", at positions 30 to 507 of the family's 1533-position model. The record is from RNAcentral.
AUUGAACGCUGGCGGCAUGCUUUACACAUGCAAGUCGAACGGCAGCGCGGGGCAACCUGGCGGCGAGUGGCGUACGGGUGAGUAAUAUAUCAGAACGUACCCAGAAGUGGGGGAUAACGUAGCGAAAGUUACGCUAAUACCGCAUACGAUCUACGGAAGAUAGUAGGGGAACGCAAGGCCUUAUGCAUUUGGAGCGGCCGAUAUCUGAUUAGCUAGUUGGUGAGGUAAAGGCUCACCAAGGCGACGAUCAGUAGCUGGCCUGAGAGGACGACCAGCCACACUGGACCUGGGACACGGUCCAGACUCCUACGGGAGGCAGAGGUGGGGAAUUUUGGCCAAUGAGCGAAAGCCUGAUCCAGCAAUGCCGCGUGGGUGAAGCAGGCCUUCGGGUUGUAAAGCUCUUUUGUCAGGGAAGAAACGGUAGAGGCUAAUAUCCUUUGCUAAUGACGGUACCUGAAUAAUAAGCACCGGCUAACUACGUG